AUUGUGGUUGCCCUUCUCAUAAAGUUCAAGCACAAACUAUUAGCUGUGUUCCCAACCACUUGUGCAUAUCGGCCUCAUCCAGGACCUGCCACAGAUCUGCCAGUUAAAACAGACCCUCAUUACUCCUUUAUUGAAUUCUCCUCUAUUCAGAGAGAUCUUGUAACUCAAACCACUAACACUGACGUGACAUAUUCACAGGUACAAACCUGAAUUCACUCUCUUCCACUAAACAAGACCCAUUCAACUCUAGAAGUAGCUAAGGAACAUUCCAGUCUAACUUAUUCUAAGAACUGGAAAAGUAAACUGGAUCAUCUAUAUUGCUAUUUUGGAUUCCGGAUUCACUGGUAAAUGAAAGUUUGGCAGGAAAAAAUUCCUUGGGUUUUUCUGUUUGUGUUUAAUACCAGAACUUGCACAGUUUGGCUUCACUUAUACCAACUAAUUCAAUGGAAGGAAGCAAAGCAGCAAGAUGGAAAGUUCUUCAGGAACAAGCAAGAC
Molecule: long non-coding RNA, 495 nt
Organism: Xenopus laevis (African clawed frog)
Lineage: Eukaryota; Metazoa; Chordata; Amphibia; Anura; Pipidae
Exons: 4
Source: RefSeq, a predicted model, not a curated record